Molecule: ribosomal RNA, 448 nt
Filed under: uncultured bacterium
Lineage: Bacteria
Description: bacterial SSU rRNA
Rfam family: Bacterial small subunit ribosomal RNA
Source: RNAcentral
AUCCAGACUCCUACGGGAGGCAGCAGUGGGGAAUAUUGCACAAUGGGGGAAACCCUGAUGCAGCGACGCCGCGUGAGCGAUGAAGUAUUUCGGUAUGUAAAGCUCUAUCAGCAGGGAAGAAGAUGACGGUACCUGACUAAGAAGCCCCGGCUAACUACGUGCCAGCAGCCGCGGUAAUACGUAGGGGGCAAGCGUUAUCCGGAUUUACUGGGUGUAAAGGGAGCGUAGACGGCGGCGCAAGCCAGAUGUGAAAGCCCGGGGCUCAACUCCGGGACUGCAUUUGGAACUGUGUGGCUGGAGUGUCGGAGAGGCAGGCGGAAUUCCUAGUGUAGCGGUGAAAUGCGUAGAUAUUAGGAGGAACACCAGUGGCGAAGGCGGCCUGCUGGACGAUGACUGACGUUGAGGCUCGAAAGCGUGGGGAGCAAACAGGAUUAGAUACCCGCGUAAG